This 231-nucleotide ribosomal RNA is filed under the name uncultured bacterium. Its description in RNAcentral is "partial 16S ribosomal RNA". It matches the Rfam family "Bacterial small subunit ribosomal RNA", at positions 103 to 334 of the family's 1533-position model. The record is from RNAcentral.
CGGGUGAGUAACACGUAUCCAACCUGCCGUCUACUCUUGGCCAGCCUUCUGAGAGGAAGAUUAAUCCAGGAUGGCAUCAUGAGUUCACAUGUCCGCAUGAUUAAAGGUAUUCCGGUAGACGAUGGGGAUGCGUUCCAUUAGAUAGUAGGCGGGGUAACGGCCCACCUAGUCUUCGAUGGAUAGGGGUUCUGAGAGGAAGGUCCCCCACAUUGGAACUGAGACACGGUCCAA